AGUGAACGCUGGCGGCAGGCCUAACACAUGCAAGUCGAACGGCAGCACAGGGGAGCUUGCUCCCUGGGUGGCGGGUGGCGGACGGGUGAGGAACACAUCGGAAUCUGCCUAUUUGUGGGGGAUAACCUCGGGAAACCGGGACUAAUACCGCAUACGACCUACGGGUGAAAGCCGGGGACCUUCGGGCCUGGCGCAGAUAGAUGAGCCGAUGUCGGAUUAGCUAGUUGGAGGGGUAAAGGCCCACCAAGGCGACGAUCCGUAGCUGGUCUGAGAGGAUGAUCAGCCACACUGGGACUGAGACACGGCCCAG
RNAcentral lists this ribosomal RNA (310 nucleotides) under uncultured bacterium. RNAcentral's name for it is "bacterial SSU rRNA". It matches the Rfam family "Bacterial small subunit ribosomal RNA", at positions 29 to 334 of the family's 1533-position model. The record is from RNAcentral.